GGGUUGUGAGGUUAAGCGACUAAGCGUACACGGUGGAUGCCCUGGCAGUCAGAGGCGAUGAAGGGCGUGCUAAUCUGCGAUAAGCGCCGGUAAGGUGAUAUGAACCGUUAUAACCGGCGAUACCCGAAUGGGGAAACCCAGUGUGAUUCGUCACACUAUCAUUAACUGAAUC
RNAcentral lists this ribosomal RNA (172 nucleotides) under Salmonella enterica subsp. enterica serovar Gallinarum. Its description in RNAcentral is "partial 23S ribosomal RNA". It matches the Rfam family "Bacterial large subunit ribosomal RNA", at positions 1 to 164 of the family's 2925-position model. Lineage: Bacteria; Pseudomonadati; Pseudomonadota; Gammaproteobacteria; Enterobacterales; Enterobacteriaceae. RNAcentral also lists the same sequence under 3 other names. The record is from RNAcentral.